GAGGGUAUAGCUCAAGCGCUAGAGCGCGUGCCUAGCAAGCACGAGGUCCUGGGUUCAAUGCCCAGCACCUCCU
Molecule: transfer RNA, 73 nt
Filed under: Camelus bactrianus (Bactrian camel)
Lineage: Eukaryota; Metazoa; Chordata; Mammalia; Artiodactyla; Camelidae
Also listed under: 1 other name
Rfam family: tRNA
About the family: Transfer RNA (tRNA) molecules are approximately 80 nucleotides in length.
Source: Rfam by way of RNAcentral